AAGUUUCUUCCAUAAGUGUUCUUCUUCCUUUUAUUCAAUUUUCCAUUCGGCAGUUUUAAUUUCCCAGUCUUUCCUUUCAUUUGCACCGUUUAAUUCUGUACUUCCAGCUUUGUUUCUUUAUUUCGGUUCGGUUCAGUAGCUUAGCUUCUCAAUUCUGUCCAGUUUUCAAUUCUUGUUCUUCAUUCCUUGUGUUUUGAUUCCAUUGGACAAUAUAUGGACUUCCAUAUGAGUCUUGGUUGGUGCUAAGUCUUGGUGAGUUCUUGAAUUAGAACAUUGAUCCAAUUCUAAAGUAAAGUGCCAUUUAUGACCAGCUCAAGUUGCUCCUAAGAAUGUCAAAGAAUCAUGUAUUCUUGUAGUUACAUUCACAUCACUUAGAACAAUGAGGAUGGAGAAAUCAAAUUUUAUGCAAUAAAACAAUGCAAAGCUAUUUAUCAACUAAAACAAUUUAUCAAAGCUUUAAACAAAGAUAAGCAUAAGCAAAUUAAGCAAACUAAGAAAAUAUUGACGUAAGGUAAACUAGCUAGAACAAUUAACAAAGGCUAACCUAGAAAGCUUAAACUAGUCGUUCCUAGGUGAGGCUUCUUAGACACUUUGAGCCUUUGAAGACACACUCACCGUCUAAUUCGUGAUUAAUCCACUAAUUAACAAGAGUAAGAUGUAAUUAGAAUUCAAGAAAUGCAAAGAAAUUAAAUUGCACAAAUUAAAUUUCAACAAGACACUCCUUUGACUUGUUGUUACUCUUCUUUGUUGUAUCCUUCAAGGUGUAUGGUGUAUUUUGGUAUUGUGUUUGUUGCUGCCCCUUGCCUUGAUCCUCUUUGAUUUAAGUAAUUAAAUUCUUCAAUACAGUACCUAUUAAGUAAAGCUAGACUCUCCUCAAGUCAAAUCCCACUCAAGAAGCACCAAUUGAUAUUUAUCCACCAACAAAUUUAGAGGUCAAGAAAAGAAAGCAAGAAACAAUUAAAAUUUAAAAGCAGCACCACUGCAAUUGGAUUUAAUAAAGUGACACAACUAGAAGGAGUUCAAAAUGAAUUGGACAAGCAAAUAAAAAUAGGCACUCAAAUAAUGGAUGACACACAAAAGGAACCUAAAGAUUGGCACUAUAAUUGAUUUGAAAAACCAAAACAGCACAACUAAAAAUAUUGUGGUCCAGAAAGCGUGACUUAA
RNAcentral lists this long non-coding RNA (1164 nucleotides) under Phaseolus vulgaris (common bean). RNAcentral describes it as "long non-coding RNA (PVUL_LNC003628)". The record is from RNAcentral. Lineage: Eukaryota; Viridiplantae; Streptophyta; Magnoliopsida; Fabales; Fabaceae.